This 261-nucleotide long non-coding RNA is filed under the name Hordeum vulgare. RNAcentral's name for it is "long non-coding RNA (HVUL_LNC019006)". The record is from RNAcentral. Lineage: Eukaryota; Viridiplantae; Streptophyta; Magnoliopsida; Poales; Poaceae.
CAUUGUGAAGAUUCUCAGGAGAUUCGUGUCGUAUUUGUUCAUUCUUGUCUUCUUUACCGGUGAAUUUAAUUCACUUGUCCGUGUUCAUUAUAUCCUAUUCAUCCUUGUAAUUCUUUCCUAUGUUGGGAAUUCUUAGGAGCCUGUCUUGUUAUUUAUUCCUCUCUUUUCGAUCCGGAGCAUUGAAGCUAUCUUAGAAGUUUUUGUUUCCUAUCUUUUCAAUUAUUUCGAGUUUCUAACCUCAUCUAGUUCUCUUCAUACCGG